UACCCUUGGGUCUGGGAUAGCGGCGGGAAACUGCCGGUAAUACCAGAUGACAUCUACGGAUCAAAGGUUUACUGCCCGAGGAGAUGUCUGUGACCUAUCAGCUAGUUGGCGGUGUAAUGGACCACCAAGGCUAAGACGGGUAUGGGGUGUGAGAGCAUGCCCCCACUCACUGGGACUGAGACACUGCCCAGACACCUACGGGUGGCUGCAGUCGAGAAUCUUCGGCAAUGGGCGAACGCCUGACCGAGCGAUGCCGCGUGCGGGAUGAAGGCCUUCGGGUUGUAAACCGCUGUCGUAGGGGAGCAAGGGGAAACCUUGAGCGAUCCUAGGAGGAAGGACCGGCUAAGUUCGUGCCAGCAGCCGCGGUAAUACGAACGGUCCAAACGUUAUUCGGAAUCACUGGGCUUAAAGCGUCCGUAGGCGGUCCAGAAAGCAGGGUGUGAAAUCCCACGGCUCAACCGUGGAAUUGCGCUCUGAACUACUGGACUCGAGGGAGAUAGAGGUAAGCGGAACUGAUGGUGGAGCGGUGAAAUGCGUUGAUAUCAUCAGGAACACCGGAGGCGAAGGCGGCUUACUGGGUCUUUUCUGACGCUGAGGGACGAAAAGCUAGGGGAGCGAACGGGAUUAGAUACCCCGGUGGUCCUAGCCGUAAACGCUGA
RNAcentral lists this ribosomal RNA (659 nucleotides) under uncultured bacterium. RNAcentral's name for it is "bacterial SSU rRNA". It matches the Rfam family "Bacterial small subunit ribosomal RNA", at positions 127 to 812 of the family's 1533-position model. The record is from RNAcentral.